RNAcentral lists this ribosomal RNA (465 nucleotides) under uncultured bacterium. Its description in RNAcentral is "partial 16S ribosomal RNA". It matches the Rfam family "Bacterial small subunit ribosomal RNA", at positions 28 to 507 of the family's 1533-position model. The record is from RNAcentral.
GACGAACGCUGGCGGCGUGCUUAACACAUGCAAGUCGUACGGUAAGGCCCUUUCGGGGGUACACGAGUGGCGAACGGGUGAGUAACACGUGAGUAACCUGCCCACAACUUUGGGAUAACGCUAGGAAACUGGUGCUAAUACUGGAUAUGUGCUCCUGCUGCAUGGUGGGGGUUGGAAAGCUCCGGCGGUUGUGGAUGGACUCGCGGCCUAUCAGCUUGUUGGUGGGGUAGUGGCCUACCAAGGCGGCGACGGGUAGCCGGCCUGAGAGGGUGACCGGCCACAUUGAGACUGAGAUACGGCCCAGACUCCGACUGGAGGCAGCAGUGGGGAAGAUUGCACAAUGGGCGCCAGCCUGAUGCAGAAACGCCGCGUGCGGGAUGACGGCCUUCGGGUUGUAAACCGCUUUCAGCAGGGACGAAGCUUUUUGUGACGGUACCUGCAGAAGAAGCACCGGCUAACUACGUG